GUCUUCUUGUUCUGGUUUUCUUGCCGUUUCUUUUUCGUCUCUUUGCCUUCCAUUGAUCGAUGUUUGUAGAAAAUUUCCUAAACGAUAUCUCCUACCCUUUGAACCUUGUGUUGAAAAGCCUUGUUGGCCCCACCCAUCUUGCCCGAAUUCUCAAGCAGCCUCGCCAUGGCUUCCGGAUUUCUUCCAGUGUUGGCUGUCGUCGUACUUUCCCUUUGCACGUUCUCUGUUUCCGCUGGCAUACCAUGUGGCCCAUACGGGAAGGUGUGUCCACAGAAAGGCUUUGAAGAUGAGACUGCUUGCUGCGGCCCAGAUCACUUCGGUUAUUGGCGGUGCUGUGAUCCUCGAUUCUCUGCAUGGAAAAUUGCCGUCAUCGCCGUUUCUGGCUUGCUGGGCAUCAUCAGUGCUGCCAGUGUUGUACUGUGUCUCUGCUGUCCCUCUUGUCCGGUGUACAAGUGGAGACAGAAGGGAAAGUCGCUCCUCAGCGAGACGCCAACAAAUUCGCACCAACCCUUGCUCACUGGAACAGCAUGAGAUUCUGGUUGCGCGUUCAUCCUGAGUGGUUCGAUAUGCUCCCAGGACAUGGACAACUGACUUGGUGUUGUCUUGAAGCGACACAC
Long non-coding RNA from Sycon ciliatum, 617 nucleotides. RefSeq lists it as uncharacterized. The record is from RefSeq and is a predicted model, not a curated record. NCBI's taxonomy places the organism in Eukaryota, Metazoa, Porifera, Calcarea, Leucosolenida, Sycettidae. The transcript is spliced from 4 exons.